This 433-nucleotide ribosomal RNA is filed under the name uncultured bacterium. RNAcentral describes it as "partial 16S ribosomal RNA". It matches the Rfam family "Bacterial small subunit ribosomal RNA", at positions 29 to 507 of the family's 1533-position model. The record is from RNAcentral.
AACGAACGCUGGCGGCAUGCCUAACACAUGCAAGUCGAACGGGACCUCAGGAACAGCUGGCUCACGGGUGCGUCACGUGUGGGACCGUGCCGUAAGAUUCGGAAAACUACUCCGAAGGGGGUGCUAACGCAGGGAAAUGUCUUCGGACAACACAUUCAUCCCCUUUGUAAGAGCAGGCGUUGUAUUGACCAGUGGGUAGGGAAAAAGCCUACCAAGGAUUAGCUCCAUAGCUGGUUUGAGAGGAUGCGCAGCCACACUGGGACUGGGACCCGGCCCGGACUCCUGCGGGAGGCAGCAGUGGCGAAUAUUGGACUAUGGGCGAAAGGCUGAACCAGCUAGGCCGCUUGAGUGAUGAAGUCCUUAGGGUAGUGAAGCUCUUUUACCCGGGAUGGUAAUGACAGUACCGAGAGAAUAAGCACCGGCUAACUCCGUG